RNAcentral lists this ribosomal RNA (253 nucleotides) under uncultured bacterium. Its description in RNAcentral is "partial 16S ribosomal RNA". It matches the Rfam family "Bacterial small subunit ribosomal RNA", at positions 524 to 776 of the family's 1533-position model. The record is from RNAcentral.
UACGGAGGGUGCAAGCGUUAUCCGGAUUCACUGGGUUUAAAGGGUGCGUAGGUGGGCAGGUAAGUCAGUGGUGAAAUCUCCGGGCUUAACCCGGAAACUGCCGUUGAUACUAUCUGUCUUGAAUAUAGUGGAGGUGAGCGGAAUAUGUCAUGUAGCGGUGAAAUGCUUAGAUAUGACAUAGAACAUCGAUUGCGAAGGCAGCUCGCUACACAUAUAUUGACUCUGAGGCACGAAAGCGUGGGGAUCAAACAGG